AAAAAAUCCAAAUCCAAUCUGACAGGUGAGUGCAGACCCCUAACAAUAUUCCUCCACUAUCAUAGUUACCUUCUAAAUUCACAAAGUACUUUGCCGUUUUAAAGACCAUUUGAAAAGCAUCUGAUGUUGGGGCGCCUGGGUGGCUCAGUGGGUUAAGCCGCUGCCUUCAGCUCAG
Long non-coding RNA from Lutra lutra (Eurasian river otter), 175 nucleotides. RefSeq lists it as uncharacterized. The transcript is spliced from 3 exons. The record is from RefSeq and is a predicted model, not a curated record. Lineage: Eukaryota; Metazoa; Chordata; Mammalia; Carnivora; Mustelidae.